CUCCACCAGGCACAGUGCACUCUCCAGGAAGUCGGUACACACACAAAACGACUACCCGUUAAAAAAUGCAGCAGUUCAGGUCACCGGAUGCAGGGAGUGUCUGAGCCUGUUGCUGCCAUCGGCGGGAGGCAGAGAAACUGCGUGCGUGAGGUGCGAGCAGGUGGAUGACCUGAUCCACAUGGUGGCGGAGCUCAAGGAGGAGGUGGAGAGGUUGAGGGAUAUCAGGGAGUGUGAGCGGGAGAUAGACUGGUGGAGUGACUCCCUGCAGGGCCUCAAGGAGAGAUAUCGAGGUGAGACACCCCAGAUGGGGGUGGACCCCCUGCUCUGUCGCCGUCGGGCAGAGGGAGGGGAUCUGGGAGUUGAGGAGGAAUGGAAACAGGUCCCUGCUCGACAUCGCAGGCAAUGCCCUCCCCUUCUGGCCCCACCUUCCCAGGUGCCCUUACGCAACAGGUUUGAGGCCCUGGAGCUCGAGAGACUAGUGCAUGAGGAAGAGGUAGCAAGUGUUCCCAGGAGGAUGCCUAGGGCGAGGAGGUCGACUCCACGCCUCAGGACUGCCUCCACUAAGAAAGACAGAAGGGUUAUUGUUGUGGGAGACUAUCUUCUUAGGGAAACAGAGGGCCCUAUUUGUCGGCCUGACCCUACCCGUAGGGAAGUCUGCUGCCUCCCAGGGGCCAGGGUCAGGGACGUUGCCAGGAAGCUUCCCAACCUGGUUCGCCCCUCAGACUAUUAUCCUCUUUUGAUAGUCCAGGCAGGUAGUGACAACAUUGAAGAGCGAAGCCUGAAAGCUAUCAAACAAGACUUUAGGGGGCUGGGACAGUUAGUGGAUAGAGCGGGAGUGCAGGUAGUGUUUUCAUCCAUCCCUAUGGCGGCAGGGAGGGGUACAGAGAGGACGCGGAAAGCCCACCUGUUAAACACGUGGCUCUGGGGCUGGUGCCAACACAGAAAUCUUGGGUUUUUCGACCAUGGGGCACUUUACUUAGCACCUGGCCUGAUGGCCGCAGACGGGUCCCUAUCUUUUAGGGGAAAAAGG
This 1030-nucleotide long non-coding RNA is filed under the name Anas platyrhynchos platyrhynchos (common mallard). RNAcentral's name for it is "lncRNA (ENSAPLG00000025940.1)". The record is from RNAcentral. Lineage: Eukaryota; Metazoa; Chordata; Aves; Anseriformes; Anatidae.